RNAcentral lists this ribosomal RNA (471 nucleotides) under uncultured bacterium. RNAcentral describes it as "bacterial SSU rRNA". It matches the Rfam family "Bacterial small subunit ribosomal RNA", at positions 335 to 803 of the family's 1533-position model. The record is from RNAcentral.
ACUCCUACGGGAGGCAGCAGUGGGGAAUAUUGCACAAUGGGCGCAAGCCUGAUGCAGCCAUGCCGCGUGUGUGAAGAAGGCCUUGGGUUGUAAAGCACUUUCAGUCGUGAGGAAGGUAGUGUAGUUAAUAGCUGCACUAUUUGACGUUAGCGACAGAAGAAGCACCGGCUAACUCCGUGCCAGCAGCCGCGGUAAUACGGAGGGUGCGAGCGUUAAUCGGAAUUACUGGGCGUAAAGCGCAUGCAGGUGGUUUGUUAAGUCAGAUGUGAAAGCCCGGGGCUCAACCUCGGAAUUGCAUUUGAAACUGGCAGACUAGAGUACUGUAGAGGGGGUUAGAAUUUCAGGUGUAGCGGUGAAAUGCGUAGAGAUCUGAAGGAAUACCGGUGGCGAAGGCGGCCCCUGGACAGAUACUGACACUCAGAUGCGAAAGCGUGGGAGCAAACAGGAUUAGAUACCCCUGGUAGCGACUGA